ACGCACGCUGGCGGCGUGCUUCACCCCUGCAAGUCGCACGGAAAGGCCCUGCUUUUGUGGGGUGCUCGAGUGGCGAACGGGUGAGUAACACGUGAGUAACCUGCCCUUGACUUUGGGAUAACUUCAGGAAACUGGGGCUAAUACCGGAUAGGAGCUCCUGCUGCAUGGUGGGGGUUGGAAAGUUUCGGCGGUUGGGGAUGGACUCGCGGCUUAUCAGCUUGUUGGUGGGGUAGUGGCUUACCAAGGCUUUGACGGGUAGCCGGCCUGAGAGGGUGACCGGCCACAUUGGGACUGAGAUACGGCCCAGACUCCUACGGGAGGCAGCAGUGGGGAAAAUUGCACAAUGGGCGGAAGCCUGAUGCAGCAACGCCGCGUGCGGGAUGACGGCCUUCGGGUUGUAAACCGCUUUCGCCUGUGACGAAGCGUGAGUGACGGUAAUGGGUAAAGAAGCACCGGCUAACUACGUG
RNAcentral lists this ribosomal RNA (467 nucleotides) under uncultured bacterium. RNAcentral describes it as "partial 16S ribosomal RNA". It matches the Rfam family "Bacterial small subunit ribosomal RNA", at positions 29 to 507 of the family's 1533-position model. The record is from RNAcentral.